Molecule: long non-coding RNA, 497 nt
Organism: Pogoniulus pusillus (Red-fronted tinkerbird)
Lineage: Eukaryota; Metazoa; Chordata; Aves; Piciformes; Lybiidae
Exons: 3
Source: RefSeq, a predicted model, not a curated record
UUAUGCAGUUUCUCAAAGGAAGGUGCCACUGCCUGAUGGGAAGGAGGAAAAGUGCAUCAAAGCCCAUUUGGAAACUGCAUGGAAAGGAUUCCUCUGAGGAGAUGCUUUACCGGAUGCAAAGGAGGACACUCCUAGCCUGCCUGCAUGUCACCUUCUAUGCUUCGGUUUCCUCCAUCCUACAUAAGCAAAAUUAUCAUUUUUCUACAAGGAUAGUGGUGGAUACAGUUACCCAAGUCACCAAUGUUUUUUGAGGUUUACCAUAUUAACAUGCCUGCUGUAUUAGUCAUGUUUCAUGGAACAUGUCCUGUGGAUCUUAGGACUAAUUCUGAAAGGUGUUAGUAAAAAUUGGUCUGCAGCUAGAACAGAAAUGAAAAAUGUAGAGUAUCUUUUAAUGGAUGUGAUACAGGAAUUGACUUUUAAUUUUUCUGAAUAUCUUAUCUGAACAGUAAAAGUAAGCUGAAAAGCACAUUGUGACUUAUUUGAACAAUAAAAGGCAU